RNAcentral lists this ribosomal RNA (573 nucleotides) under uncultured bacterium. Its description in RNAcentral is "partial 16S ribosomal RNA". It matches the Rfam family "Bacterial small subunit ribosomal RNA", at positions 355 to 919 of the family's 1533-position model. The record is from RNAcentral.
UGGGGAAUUUUGGACAAUGGGCGCAAGCCUGAUCCAGCAAUGCCGCGUGCAGGAUGAAGGCCUUCGGGUUGUAAACUGCUUUUGUACGGAACGAAAAGCCUCCCUCUAAUACAGGGGGGUGAUGACGGUACCGUAAGAAUAAGCACCGGCUAACUACGUGCCAGCAGCCGCGGUAAUACGUAGGGUGCAAGCGUUAAUCGGAAUUACUGGGCGUAAAGCGUGCGCAGGCGGUUUUGUAAGACAGUGGUGAAAUCCCCGGGCUCAACCUGGGAACUGCCAUUGUGACUGCAAGGCUGGAGUGCGGCAGAGGGGGAUGGAAUUCCGCGUGUAGCAGUGAAAUGCGUAGAUAUGCGGAGGAACACCGAUGGCGAAGGCAAUCCCCUGGGCCUGCACUGACGCUCAUGCACGAAAAGCGUGGGGAGCAAACAGGAUUAGAUACCCUGGUAGUCCACGCCCUAAACGAUGUCAACUGGUUGUUGGGGAUUUAUUUCUUCAGUAACGAAGCUAACGCGUGAAGUUGACCGCCUGGGGAGUACGGCCGCAAGGUUAAAAACUUAAAUGAAUUGACGGGGG